ACGAACGCUGGCGGCGUGCUUAGCCCAUGCAAGUCGAACGGAAAGGCCCCUUUGGGGGUACUCGAGUGGCGAACGGGUGAGUAACACGUGAGUAACCUGCCCUUGACUUCGGGAUAACUUCAGGAAACUGGGGCUAAUACCGGAUAGGAAUCCUUGCUGCAUGGUGGGGGUUGGAAAGCUUCGGCGGUUUUGGAUGGACUCGCGGCUUAUCAGCUUGUUGGUGGGGUAGUGGCUUACCAAGGCUUUGACGGGUAGCCGGCCUGAGAGGGCGACCGGCCACAUUGGGACUGAGAUACGGCCCAGACUCCUACGGGAGGCAGCAGUGGGGAAUAUUGCACAAUGGGCGGAAGCCUGAUGCAGCAACGCCGCGUGCGGGAUGACGGCCUUCGGGUUGUAAACCGCUUUCAGCAGGGGCGAAGCUUGUGGUGACGGUACCUGCAGAAGAAGCACCGGCUAACUACGU
This 463-nucleotide ribosomal RNA is filed under the name uncultured bacterium. Its description in RNAcentral is "partial 16S ribosomal RNA". It matches the Rfam family "Bacterial small subunit ribosomal RNA", at positions 29 to 506 of the family's 1533-position model. The record is from RNAcentral.